UCCUACGGGAGGCAGCAGUAAGGAAUAUUCCACAAUGAGCGAAAGCUUGAUGGAGCGACACAGAGUGCAGGAUGAAGUCUUUAAGGAUGUAAACUGCUGUUGUAAGGGAAGAAAAAACUAGAUAGGAAAUGAUUUAGUCUUGACGGUACCUUAUUAGAAAGUGACGGCAAACUAUGUGCCAGCAGCCGCGGUAAUACAUAGGUCGCAAGCGUUAUCCGGAAUUAUUGGGCGUAAAGCGUCCGCAGGUUUUUUGUUAAGUUUAAGGUUAAAUGCUAAAGCUCAACUUUAGUUCGCUUUAGAUACUGACAAAAUAGAAUUAUGAAGAGGUUAGCGGAAUUCCUAGUGGAGCGGUGGAAUGCGUAGAUAUUAGGAAGAACACCAAUAGGCGAAGGCAGCUAACUGGUCAUAUAUUGACACUGAUGGACGAAAGCGUGGGGAGCAAACAGGAUUAGAUACCCUGGUAGUCC
RNAcentral lists this ribosomal RNA (467 nucleotides) under uncultured bacterium. Its description in RNAcentral is "bacterial SSU rRNA". It matches the Rfam family "Bacterial small subunit ribosomal RNA", at positions 337 to 796 of the family's 1533-position model. The record is from RNAcentral.